AAUCAUUAGUUUUUUAAUUGAAAACUGGGAUGAAUGGUCCGACAAAAGAAAAACUGUCUUCAUGCACUAGAUAUAAAACUUAACUUUUAAGUUAAAAGGCUUAAAUAAUCCAGGGGGACAACAAGACCCUAUAAAGCUUUAUAUGCUGUCUUAGCUAGCUAAAAUAAAGUCCUAAAGGCCAGUUGGGGUUAGUUUAUUUUGUUGGGGCGAUAAAAGUAUAAUUUAGGUAACUGCUAUUAAUCUGAUACAUGGAUGGUUGAAAUAAUCUUAAAAGAUCCUUAUUAAAGAUUCAAAGACCAAGUUACUUUAGGGAUAACAGCGUAAUUUCUUUUGAGAGUCCAUAUCGAAAAAGAAGAUUGCGACCUCGAUGUUGAAUUAAGAUUUCUUUAUUGUGCAGCCGCAGUAAAAAGAAGGUCUGUUCGACCUUUAAAGUCUUACAUGAUUUGAGUUCAGACCGGCGUGAGCCAGGUUG
This 472-nucleotide ribosomal RNA is filed under the name Calappa woodmasoni. RNAcentral describes it as "partial 16S ribosomal RNA". It matches the Rfam family "Archaeal large subunit ribosomal RNA", at positions 2040 to 2702 of the family's 2987-position model. Lineage: Eukaryota; Metazoa; Arthropoda; Malacostraca; Decapoda; Calappidae. The record is from RNAcentral.